GGACAUUCAUUAGCUUGUAGCAUUCAUUUUCCUUCAGUGAUAUGCUAUAUAUUGACUUAUAAUGGUAAUAAUGUCUCACAGGAAUCCUUCGAGUGAUGCACAGCACCCCAAGUAAUUAUGACGUUCUUUUCUCUCCCGUUUCCAUAACUAGAUAAUGGGUGACCCCAAUGUCUUGAAUGAUGAUUAAGCUGGUGUGUAUGUGUGGAGCUGACAGUGCCAGGCUGUGGUGGUGGCGGCGGCAGGAGGGUGAGAGACUCCACGCAGGCUCGGCACUCCUCUCCACACAGUUCUUAUUGUCCUCUGGAAAAUCCAGUGUACAGUUACUGAUGAAAAGGUGAAAAUAUAUACAUCUAUAUAGUGAUGCUAUCAGGUGUGUGUUUCAUCAUCAUUUAUUCACACAUUCUCCCUGUUUCUUGUGAUACAUCAUUAAAUUGAAUUACAUACGACAUCAUUCUUUGAUAUGCUGACAUUUUUAGUCAUUCAUAUAUUUUACUAAAGGAAAAUGCUCGCCAUCUUAAAAAGAUGGACUUUGUAACAGUUCAUAGAACAAACCUCUUUCCCUUGCUUUGUUUAUAUAUGUAUUUUGACUAUUUAUUUAUUUAUUAAUUUUCCUAGAGAAUUGAAAAAAUGAAACUUGUGGGAACUUUUUGAAAUGAUUAGAAAUCUGAUAUUGUUUGCCAUAUACUGAAAGUCAAGAAUUGAUUUUCUUUUCUUUGACAAGAGGGAGAACAACCAAAUUCAUAGAUGCCAACGUUUUACAGUUUUAUCAGGUUUCGUCAUGUGUGGUCACCAUCUACACACAGGCAUUGUGGCAUGCUGGGUGUGAAGAGGUUUGGUGCUGCUGGGCAUUGCUUGAGUGGAGUGAGGAUGAAAGCUGGUAACACUUGAGGUACAGGUCAUGUUGGAGGUGCUGUCGUGUGCCCAGCCAAAUGGAUCUCGGAUAUUGAAAUUUUGCUGCUGGUAGGAAAGGAAGAUCCUUCUGGGAAUGGAUAUAGAUCUAGUGAGAAACAAAUUGUGUAUAGAAGGAAGAAAUAUAUGUUGUUGUCUUUCUUUUAUUAAUCUACAUCCUGUUUCUUCUACUUGGUUAUUUCUUUGGUUGGAUAUACUUGCAGUCUGGUCUUUAUUUUUUACAGAUUAAAUGCAGUAAAUUAAUGUGAAGUUGUGAUCGCAUGACUAUGCCAUUUAAGAUCAUAAGGAGGGUACCCAUGCAAUAUAUUGCAUUUUGAAGCUUUUUUUUGUCUGUAUAUAUUCUAAAUUUGUCUUAAAACACCAUUAAUGUGGUGAGAUUUGCGCCUUUAACAUUUACUACAGAUUUUUUUUUUUAAUAUCAUUAAAGAGAAUACUGUUUUCAUUGAAAACUUAACAUAUUUUUAUAUAAUGGAGUCUUGGUAUAUAGUCUUGGUUGAUAAUAGAAAUGUUGAAUAUUCGAUUUCAAGUUGAUUAGAUAACUUGCAGUUUACAAUCUCUAAUUUCAAGAUGGUUUGGUUGUAAGUUACAGCGAGUAUUGGUGUUGAUUUUCUUUUUGAAUUGCCAUAUAUUACGACCUAAUUUCAGAAAGUGUUUUCUUUAAUACAUUUUUUUAUAUUCCUUCAAUAGCUUGAGUAAAGGCUCAGUACAAGAAACACUAGAAAAAUGACAAAAGGCAUGUAGCAUUCUAUGUACUGAGAUAGUACAUUCACUUUUCAUUUCCCAUCUGAAUACGUUAAACCAUGGUGAAUGAUUUUCCAGUUAAUGGAUUACUUGUUUUAAAGGAGAUUUGUAAUGCAGUUCAGAUAUUUAUCAUAUUCUGAACUCUCCAAAUACCAUCAAGAAUAAUUUGUUGAUUAGAAAUUAUGUAUUUAUAGAUUUCUGCAAUAUUGAUGGGUGAAUGUUAUGAAAACCUCUAAUACAUGUUUAACCACAUAACAUACCAAGAAUAGAACAUGCAUAAUAACAUGCCAUUUACUCAAAAUAUACUAGCAUAAACAUGAACUUUUAACCUUAUUUUGGGGGAAACUUUAUGAAAUAUAUAUGGGAUACUGUCGGUGAUCUUCAAUCUAUAUUGUUCAACGAAAAUGCAGUAGCCUGAAGUUUGGAGUUAAACUGGUAAGUAGUUUUUUUCACUCACUCAGCUACAAGAAGUUUUAUCAUAGAGUAAAUAUUUCACAUUCAGUAUUUUGUGGGUGGAGGGAAAUAAGAAUGUGACUCAAGGUUUGGUGAAGGAAAUUAACUUAAAAGUUUAAGGGAAAUUUCAGCGUUUUUAGUGUGGAAACGCUGCAGACAUCCAUUUAACAACUACAUGGACAUGCACCGACACUGUUUCACAAUCAUUCACACAAACUCACGAUUUCCCUCGUCAUUUUUCUCCUAAUUUAUUUUUGUAAUUUUUAUAAAGGAUUUAGAAAUAUCCAUUAUUUUAAAUUCACUUCCACCUCCAUUUGGUCUUCAACAUCGAGACAUUCAUAUGGUAAAUGUUUUAGAAAAUAAUCAGUACAGAGCAGUUCAUCUUUUUCUGUUAUAAUUUGUAACACGGACACACGUUAACAAUCUCCCUCACUUAACUCAUGAAAUCAGCACGUAAACAUCACGCAUCGAGUUGUUAGCACCCUCUCUAAGAAGGGCACAUGCUUUGAUCAUCCUUAGGCAAAGGAGUAUGUUGAUGAGCACAUUGUUUAUCUACUGAGGUGCUUAAGGAAUAUGAUGUAUCAAAUGUUGAUUUUUUUGGUUAAAUAUAUAUUUUAUAUUGAA
Molecule: long non-coding RNA, 2727 nt
Filed under: Penaeus monodon (black tiger shrimp)
Lineage: Eukaryota; Metazoa; Arthropoda; Malacostraca; Decapoda; Penaeidae
Description: uncharacterized LOC119579257
Source: RNAcentral